This 21-nucleotide microRNA is filed under the name Tribolium castaneum (red flour beetle). RNAcentral describes it as "tca-miR-3812-3p". Lineage: Eukaryota; Metazoa; Arthropoda; Insecta; Coleoptera; Tenebrionidae. The record is from miRBase by way of RNAcentral.
ACUGGCACAUCAUCACUUAGC